Molecule: ribosomal RNA, 254 nt
Filed under: uncultured bacterium
Lineage: Bacteria
Description: partial 16S ribosomal RNA
Rfam family: Bacterial small subunit ribosomal RNA
Source: RNAcentral
UACGUAGGGUGCGAGCGUUGUCCGGAAUUAUUGGGCGUAAAGAGCUCGUAGGCGGCUUGGCAAGUCGGGUGUGAAACCUCCAGGCUUAACCUGGAGACGCCACUCGAUACUGCCAUGGCUAGAGUCCGGUAGGGGACCACGGAAUUCCUGGUGUAGCGGUGAAAUGCGCAGAUAUCAGGAGGAACACCGGUGGCGAAGGCGGGUCUCUGGGCCGAUACUGACGCUGAGGAGCGAAAGCGUGGGGAGCGAACAGG